GGUCGAGCGUUUGGAUUAAGAGCUUGCUCUUAUGAAGUUAGCGGCGGACGGGUGAGUAACACGUGGGUAACCUGCCCAUAAGACUGGGAUAACUCCGGGAAACCGGGGCUAAUACCGGAUAACAUUUUGAACUGCAUGGUUCGAAAUUGAAAGGCGGCUUCGGCUGUCACUUAUGGAUGGACCCGCGUCGCAUUAGCUAGUUGGUGAGGUAACGGCUCACCAAGGCAACGAUGCGUAGCCGACCUGAGAGGGUGAUCGGCCACACUGGGACUGAGACACGGCCCAGACUCCUACGGGAGGCAGCAGUAGGGAAUCUUCCGCAAUGGACGAAAGUCUGACGGAGCAACGCCGCGUGAGUGAUGAAGGCUUUCGGGUCGUAAAACUCUGUUGUUAGGGAA
Molecule: ribosomal RNA, 398 nt
Filed under: uncultured Bacillus sp.
Lineage: Bacteria; Bacillati; Bacillota; Bacilli; Caryophanales; Bacillaceae
Description: bacterial SSU rRNA
Rfam family: Bacterial small subunit ribosomal RNA
Source: RNAcentral